This 1231-nucleotide long non-coding RNA is filed under the name Linum usitatissimum (flax). Its description in RNAcentral is "long non-coding RNA (LUSI_LNC003951)". Lineage: Eukaryota; Viridiplantae; Streptophyta; Magnoliopsida; Malpighiales; Linaceae. The record is from RNAcentral.
AUUUAAUAAAAUUUCCAAUCAGCAAAUAAUUAUUUCAUUACACGCGUAAUAAAGUUUACAGAAACAAACGACUCCCAUACAAACGAAAAAAAAAGAAAAAGAAACGCACACAAUACUAUUAUUACUUCCACAAUUUCCUUUAUUCAAAUGUAACAGAAUAAAUGAACAAUGGUCAUGGCAUGGUCCAUUUGCGGUUGCCUUUCAUGAAUAUCGUUCUUAAUAUCGUACAAAGAAGCCUUGAUUACGACUCGAUCCCCUAGGCAAAUUCGUUAGAUGGCAUGACAUCCUUGUGGUACUGGAAGACUUGAUGAAGCUAAGACUCGAUUCCCUUGGCAAAUUCGUUGGAUGGCACGACAUCCUUGUGGUACUGGAAGACUUGAUUAGGUUGUGUCUCGGUCCCAACCGCAAAUUCAUUAGAUGGCACGGCAUCUUUGUGGUAUUGGAAUACUUGAUUAGGUUGCGACUCGAUCUCCUUGAAACCUUCAUUUGAUGGCACGACAUCCUUGUUGUACUGGAAGACUUGAUUAGGUUGUGACCCGAUCCCUUUGGAAAAUUCAUUUGACGGCACGACAUCCUUGUGGUACUGGAAGACUUGAUUAGGCUGCGAUUCGAUUCCCUUGGCAAAUUCGUUGGAUGGCACGAUAUCCUUGUGGUACUGGAAGACUUGAUUAGGCUGCAAUUCCAUCCCCUUGGAAAAUUCAUUAGAUGUCACGACAUCCUUGUGGUACUGGAAGACUUGAUUAGGCUGCGACUCGAUCUCCUUGGCAAAUUCAUUAGAUGGCACGGCAUCCUUGUGGUACUGGAAGACUUGGUUAGGCUGCAACUCGAUCUCCUUGGCAAAUUCAUUAGAUGGCACGGCAUCCUUGUGGUACUGGAAGACUUGGUUAGGCUGCAACUCGAUCUCCUUGGCAAAUUCAUUAGAUGGCACGGCAUCCUCGUGGUACUGGAAGACUUGAUUAGGUUGCGACUCGGUCCCUUCCGCAAAUUCAUUAGAUGGCACGAUAUCCUUGUGGUAUUGGAAUACUUGGUUAGGUUGCGACUCGAUCUCCUUGGAAAAUUCGUUGGAUGGCACGGCAUCCUUGUGGUACUGGAAGACCUGAUUAGUAUCACAACGUACAUCGGCGUGAUCAGAGUUUGCAGCAGGCAGUAGGGAUUCGAUUGCUUUGGGCAUAAGCUGAUCUUUCAUCACAGAUUUCCAGUAACCCCCUAUUGAGUCUUUUCUUGCAUUGAC